GCUGGAGGCCUGGGAAGGCCAAGUCUGACAAAGCAAGACUCUGCUGAUACGUUCCUCCCAAAAACAGGGUCAGAGAGAGCAGCCCCUCCUGGGCUGUCCCGGGCUGCCUGCGCCCGCCGGUG
Non-coding RNA from Lemur catta (Ring-tailed lemur), 122 nucleotides. RefSeq annotates it as small Cajal body-specific RNA 4. Lineage: Eukaryota; Metazoa; Chordata; Mammalia; Primates; Lemuridae. The record is from RefSeq and is a predicted model, not a curated record. The transcript has a single exon.